Molecule: ribosomal RNA, 538 nt
Filed under: uncultured bacterium
Lineage: Bacteria
Description: bacterial SSU rRNA
Rfam family: Bacterial small subunit ribosomal RNA
Source: RNAcentral
GGGCNAGCCUGAUGCAGCGACGCCGCGUGGGGGAUGAAGCUUUUCGGAGUGUAAACCCCUUUCGACCCGGACGAAUGCCCCGCAAGGGGACUGACGGUACGGGUAUAAGAAGCCCCGGCUAACUACGUGCCAGCAGCCGCGGUAAGACGUGGGGGGCCAGCGUUGUUCGGAAUUACUGGGUGUAAAGGGUCAGUAGGCGGUGUGGCAAGUCGGGAGUGAAAUCUCUGGGCUUAACUCAGAGACUGCUUCCGAAACUGCUGUGCUUGAGUGUGGGAGAGGCGCGUGGAAUUGCAGGUGUAGCGGUGAAAUGCGUAGAUAUCUGCAGGAACACCCGUGGCGAAAGCGGCGCGCUGGACCACAACUGACGCUGAAUGACGAAAGCUAGGGGAGCAAACAGGAUUAGAUACCCUGGUAGUCCUAGCCCUAAACGAUCAGGACUUGGGGUGCCGCACGUUCGUGCGUCGUCCCGGAGCUAACGCGUUAAGUCCUGCACCUGGGGAGUACGGUCGCAAGACUGAAACUCAAAAAAAUUGACGGA